CUACGUCUGGAAGUGAUAAGCGCUGAAGGCAUCUAAGCGCGAAACAUACCUUAAGAUAAGAUUUCCCAUCGUAAGAGUAAGACCCCAGAUAGACUAUCUGGUUGAUAGGUCACAGGUGUAAGGGCAGCAAUGUCUUCAGCUUAGUGAUACUAAUAGGUCGAGGACUUGACCAAAA
This 175-nucleotide ribosomal RNA is filed under the name Bacillota bacterium. RNAcentral describes it as "partial 23S ribosomal RNA". It matches the Rfam family "Bacterial large subunit ribosomal RNA", at positions 2749 to 2925 of the family's 2925-position model. Lineage: Bacteria; Bacillati; Bacillota. The record is from RNAcentral.